Molecule: ribosomal RNA, 635 nt
Filed under: uncultured bacterium
Lineage: Bacteria
Description: bacterial SSU rRNA
Rfam family: Bacterial small subunit ribosomal RNA
Source: RNAcentral
UUGAGUUUGAUCCUGGCUCAGGAUGAACGCUGGCGGCGUGCCUAAUACAUGCAAGUCGAGCGAACCACUUCGGUGGGAAGCGGCGAACGGGUGAGUAACACGUAGGUGAUCUGCCCAUCAGACGGGGACAACGAUUGGAAACGAUCGCUAAUACCGGAUAGGACGAGAGUUUAAAGAUGCUCCUGGCAUCACUGAUGGAUGAGCCUGCGGCGCAUUAGCUAGUUGGUGGGGUAAAGGCCUACCAAGGCGACGAUGCGUAGCCGACCUGAGAGGGUGAACGGCCACACUGGGACUGAGACACGGCCCAGACUCCUACGGGAGGCAGCAGUAGGGAAUCUUCGGCAAUGGGCGAAAGCCUGACCGAGCAACGCCGCGUGAAUGAAGAAGGCCUUCGGGUUGUAAAAUUCUGUUAUAAGGGAAGAAAGGUGAUAGGAGGAAAUGACUAUCAAUUGACGGUACCUUAUGAGAAAGCCACGGCUAACUACGUGCCAGCAGCCGCGGUAAUACGUAGGGGGCGAGCGUUAUCCGGAUUCACUGGGUGUAAAGGGAGCGUAGACGGCCAUGCAAGCCAGGGGUGAAAGCCCGGGGCCCAACCCCGGGACUGCCCUUGGAACUGCAUGGCUGGAGUGCGGGAG